Molecule: ribosomal RNA, 292 nt
Filed under: uncultured bacterium
Lineage: Bacteria
Description: partial 16S ribosomal RNA
Rfam family: Bacterial small subunit ribosomal RNA
Source: RNAcentral
UCCUACGGGAGGCAGCAGUAGGGAAUCUUCCACAAUGGGCGAAAGCGUGAUGGAGCAACGCCGCGUGGGUGAAGAAGGUCUUCGGAUCGUAAAACCCUGUUGUUAGAGAAGAAAGUGCGUGAGAGUAACUGUUCACGUUUCGACGGUAUCUAACCAGAAAGCCACGGCUAACUACGUGCCAGCAGCCGCGGUAAUACGUAGGUGGCAAGCGUUAUCCGGAUUUAUUGGGCGUAAAGGGAACGCAGGCGGUCGUUUAAGUCUGAUGUGAAAGCCUUCGGCUUACCCGGCUUAG